Molecule: long non-coding RNA, 284 nt
Filed under: Lathyrus oleraceus (garden pea)
Lineage: Eukaryota; Viridiplantae; Streptophyta; Magnoliopsida; Fabales; Fabaceae
Description: Pisum sativum (pea) long non-coding RNA (PSAT_LNC024489)
Source: RNAcentral
ACACUUUGUGGGCUCUAUUUGAAUGAUCAAUCAACACAAGGGAAAAACUUGAGUUACUUCCAACAGGGGUCUAUUCGUCAGUCAAAACGUUAAUCUUGAAGGAGCAAAGGUUUGUUCAUGAGCUGUCAUGCUCGCUAGGCGAAGCCCACAUCAAUCAACACAAGGGAAAAACUUGAGUUACUUCCAACAGGGGUCUAUUCGUCAGUCAAAACGUUAAUCUUGAAGGAGCAAAGGUUUGUUCAUGAGCUGUCAUGCUCGCUAGGCGAAGCCCACGUGUCUUGAAA